RNAcentral lists this small nucleolar RNA (88 nucleotides) under Callithrix jacchus (white-tufted-ear marmoset). Its description in RNAcentral is "Small nucleolar RNA U3 (ENSCJAG00000052110.2)". It matches the Rfam family "Small nucleolar RNA U3", at positions 1 to 96 of the family's 219-position model. From Rfam's summary of the family: Small nucleolar RNAs (snoRNAs) are involved in the processing and modification of rRNA in the nucleolus. The record is from Rfam by way of RNAcentral. Lineage: Eukaryota; Metazoa; Chordata; Mammalia; Primates; Cebidae.
CAGAUUAUACUUUUAGGGAUCAUUUCCAUAGUUCAUUACUGGAAAAGUUUCUCAGAAUAUAUAUAGAGAGAAAAAAAGAAUCUAUAGA